CCGCUUUAAGACGAGUCCGCGUCUGAUUAGUUAGUUGGCAGGGUAACGGCCUACCAAGACGACGAUCAGUAGCCGGCCUGAGAGGGUGGCCGGCCACACUGGGACUGAGACACGGCCCAGACUCCUACGGGAGGCAGCAGUGGGGAAUUUUCCGCAAUGGGCGCAAGCCUGACGGAGCAACGCCGCGUGAAUGAAGAAGGCCUUCGGGUCGUAAAUUUCUGUCUUUUGGGGCGAAACAGCAGCGCAAAUAGCGUUGUGAAUGACGGUACCAAAGGAGGAAGC
This 282-nucleotide ribosomal RNA is filed under the name uncultured bacterium. RNAcentral's name for it is "partial 16S ribosomal RNA". It matches the Rfam family "Bacterial small subunit ribosomal RNA", at positions 215 to 491 of the family's 1533-position model. The record is from RNAcentral.